CAUGGCUGUCGUCAGCUCGUGUUGUGAAAUGUUGGGUUAAGUCCCGCAACGAGCGCAACCCUUAUCCUUUGUUGCCAGCGGUCCGGCCGGGAACUCAAAGGAGACUGCCAGUGAUAAACUGGAGGAAGGUGGGGAUGACGUCAAGUCAUCAUGGCCCUUACGACCAGGGCUACACACGUGCUACAAUGGCGCAUACAAAGAGAAGCGACCUCGCGAGAGCAAGCGGACCUCAUAAAGUGCGUCGUAGUCCGGAUUGGAGUCUGCAACUCGACUCCAUGAAGUCGGAAUCGCUAGUAAUCGUGGAUCAGAAUGCCACGGUGAAUACGUUCCCGGGCCUUGUACACACCGCCCGUCACACCAUGGGAGUGGGUUGCAAAAGAAGUAGGUAGCUUAACCUUCGGGAGGGCGCUUACCACUUUGUGAUUCAUGACUGGGGUGAAGUCGUAACAAGGUAACCGUAGGGGAACCUGCGGUUGGAUCACCUCCUU
This 488-nucleotide ribosomal RNA is filed under the name Escherichia coli. RNAcentral describes it as "bacterial SSU rRNA". It matches the Rfam family "Bacterial small subunit ribosomal RNA", at positions 1044 to 1532 of the family's 1533-position model. Lineage: Bacteria; Pseudomonadati; Pseudomonadota; Gammaproteobacteria; Enterobacterales; Enterobacteriaceae. The record is from RNAcentral. RNAcentral also lists the same sequence under 1 other name.